Molecule: ribosomal RNA, 253 nt
Filed under: uncultured bacterium
Lineage: Bacteria
Description: partial 16S ribosomal RNA
Rfam family: Bacterial small subunit ribosomal RNA
Source: RNAcentral
UACGGAGGGGACUAGCGUUGUUCGGAAUUACUGGGCGUAAAGCGCACGUAGGCGGAUUUGUAAGUCAGGGGUGAAAUCCCGGGGCUCAACCUCGGAACUGCCUUUGAUACUGCAAAUCUCGAGUCCGGAAGAGGUGAGUGGAAUUCCUAGUGUAGAGGUGAAAUUCGUAGAUAUUAGGAAGAACACCAGUGGCGAAGGCGGCUCACUGGGACGGUACUGACGCUGAGACGCGAAAGCGUGGGGAGCGAACAGG